GAUUACAGUGUCAAAAGGUCUGAGUCCACCUGUGCUUGCACAAGGGUGGAUGAAUGACCUUGGGGCACGCCCCGAUAUGAGCAUAAAAGUGGGAUUUUUAUCCCACGAUAUGCGAAUAGCGGAAAGGAUUGUGGGAGUGCAAAGCACGGAACAAUCCGUGUA
RNAcentral lists this small RNA (162 nucleotides) under Eubacterium ramulus. RNAcentral's name for it is "Clostridiales-1 RNA". It matches the Rfam family "Clostridiales-1 RNA". Lineage: Bacteria; Bacillati; Bacillota; Clostridia; Eubacteriales; Eubacteriaceae. The record is from RNAcentral.